RNAcentral lists this ribosomal RNA (480 nucleotides) under uncultured cyanobacterium. RNAcentral describes it as "bacterial SSU rRNA". It matches the Rfam family "Bacterial small subunit ribosomal RNA", at positions 355 to 850 of the family's 1533-position model. Lineage: Bacteria; Bacillati; Cyanobacteriota. The record is from RNAcentral.
UGGGGAAUUUUCCGCAAUGGGCGAAAGCCUGACGGAGCAAUACCGCGUGAGGGAGGAAGGCUCUUGGGUUGUAAACCUCAAAACUUAGGGAAGAAGAAAGUGACGGUACCUAAUAUAAGCAUCGGCUAACUCCGUGCCAGCAGCCGCGGUAAUACGGAGGAUGCAAGCGUUAUCCGGAAUCAUUGGGCGUAAAGCGUCCGUAGGUGGCAUUUCAAGUCUGCUGUCAAAGACCGAAGCUCAACUUCGGGUAGGCGGUGGAAACUGAAAAGCUAGAGUAUAGUAGGGGUAGAGGGAAUUCCUAGUGUAGCGGUGAAAUGCGUAGAGAUUAGGAAGAACACCAGUGGCGAAGGCGCUCUACUGGGCAUAUACUGACACUGAGGGACGAAAGCUAGGGUAGCGAAAGGGAUUAGAUACCCCUGUAGUCCUAGCGGUAAACGAUGGAUACUAGGUGUUGUCUGUAUCGACCCAGACAGUGCCGAA